This 492-nucleotide ribosomal RNA is filed under the name uncultured bacterium. RNAcentral's name for it is "partial 16S ribosomal RNA". It matches the Rfam family "Bacterial small subunit ribosomal RNA", at positions 29 to 507 of the family's 1533-position model. The record is from RNAcentral.
AGUGAGCGCUGGCGGUAGGCCUAACACAUGCAAGUCGAACGGCAGCACAGUAAGAGCUUGCUCUUACGGGUGGCGAGUGGCGGACGGGUGAGGAAUACAUCGGAAUCUACUUUUUCGUGGGGGAUAACGUAGGGAAACUUACGCUAAUACCGCAUACGACCUACGGGUGAAAGCAGGGGAUCUUCGGACCUUGCGCGAUUGAAUGAGCCGAUGUCGGAUUAGCUAGUUGGCGGGGUAAAGGCCCACCAAGGCAACGAUCCGUAGCUGGUCUGAGAGGAUGAUCAGCCACACUGGAACUGAGACACGGUCCAGACUCCUACGGGAGGCAGCAGUGGGGAAUAUUGGACAAUGGGCGCAAGCCUGAUCCAGCCAUACCGCGUGGGUGAAGAAGGCCUUCGGGUUGUAAAGCCCUUUUGUUGGGAAAGAAAAGCAGCAGGUUAAUACCCCGCUGUUCUGACGGUACCCAAAGAAUAAGCACCGGCUAACUUCGUG